GAUGAACGCUGGCGGCGUGCCUAAUACAUGCAAGUCGAGCGAACAGAUGAGGAGCUUGCUCCUCUGACGUUAGCGGCGGACGGGUGAGUAACACGUGGAUAACCUACUUAUAAGACUGGGAUAACUUCGGGAAACAGGAGCUAAUACCGGAUAAUAUAUUGAACCGCAUGGUUCAAUAGUAAAAGACGGUUUUGCUGUCACUUAUAGAUGGAUCCGCGCCGCAUUAGCUAGUUGGUAAGGUAACGGCUUACCAAGGCAACGAUGCGUAGCCGACCUGGGAGGGUGAUCGGCCACACUGGAACUGAGACACGGUCCAGACUCCUACGGGAGGCAGCAGUAGGGAAUCUUCCGCAAUGGGCGAAAGCCUGACGGAGCAACCCCGCGUGAGUGAUAAAGGUCUUCGGAUCGUAAAACUCUGUUAUUAGGGAAGAACAAAUGUGUAAGUAACUAUGCACGUCUUGACGGUACCUAAUCAGAAAGCCACGGCUAACUACGUG
Molecule: ribosomal RNA, 497 nt
Filed under: uncultured bacterium
Lineage: Bacteria
Description: partial 16S ribosomal RNA
Rfam family: Bacterial small subunit ribosomal RNA
Source: RNAcentral